GACGAACGCUGGCGGCGUGCUUAACACAUGCAAGUCGAGCGGUAAGGCCCUUUCGGGGGUACACGAGCGGCGAACGGGUGAGUAACACGUGGGUGACCUGCCCUCAGCUCUGGGAUAAGCCUGGGAAACCGGGUCUAAUACUGGAUAUGACUCCAUGACGCAUGUUGUGGGGUGGAAAGCCUUGUGCGGCUGAGGAUGGGCCCGCGGCCUAUCAGCUUGUUGGUGGGGUGAUGGCCUACCAAGGCGACGACGGGUAGCCGGCCUGAGAGGGCGACCGGCCACACUGGGACUGAGACACGGCCCAGACUCCUACGGGAGGCAGCAGUGGGGAAUCUUGCGCAAUGGGCGAAAGCCUGAUGCAGCAACACCGUGUGGGCGAGGAAGGCCUUUGGGUCGUAAAGCCCUGUUGUUGGGGACGAAGGUCGAAGGGUUAAUAGCCCCUAGACUGACGGUACCCUUCGAGGAA
This 466-nucleotide ribosomal RNA is filed under the name uncultured bacterium. Its description in RNAcentral is "bacterial SSU rRNA". It matches the Rfam family "Bacterial small subunit ribosomal RNA", at positions 28 to 489 of the family's 1533-position model. The record is from RNAcentral.